CUGUUGAUGGAUAAGGUUCCUCUGGUUCUAGUGGAGGAAGCUUCACUUAAGGUGCAAAAACCAAAAGCUGUUCCACAGCAGCGGUCAGACAACCGUAGAGAUAGAUCCACAGAUGAUUUGUUUGCAAUACUUUUCAUCUACUAAUUCUGUCUCACACUU
Non-coding RNA from Musa acuminata subsp. malaccensis (wild Malaysian banana), 159 nucleotides. Lineage: Eukaryota; Viridiplantae; Streptophyta; Magnoliopsida; Zingiberales; Musaceae. The record is from Rfam.